AACCUAGCACACCUGCGGUGUGUACCUGCGGAGGGAUCAUUACCGAGUUUACAACUCCCAAACCCCUGUGAACAUACCUAUACGUUGCCUCGGCGGAUCAGCCCGCGCCCCGUAAAACGGGACGGCCCGCCCGAGGACCCUAAACUCUGUUUUUAGUGGAACUUCUGAGUAAAACAAACAAAUAAAUCAAAACUUUCAGCAACGGAUCU
RNAcentral lists this unclassified non-coding RNA (209 nucleotides) under soil metagenome. Its description in RNAcentral is "partial contains 5.8S ribosomal RNA, internal transcribed spacer 2, and large subunit ribosomal RNA". The record is from RNAcentral.